RNAcentral lists this ribosomal RNA (463 nucleotides) under uncultured bacterium. Its description in RNAcentral is "bacterial SSU rRNA". It matches the Rfam family "Bacterial small subunit ribosomal RNA", at positions 49 to 507 of the family's 1533-position model. The record is from RNAcentral.
UUACACAUGCAAGUCGAACGGCAGCACGGGAGCAAUCCUGGUGGCGAGUGGCGAACGGGUGAGUAAUAUAUCGGAACGUGCCCAGUCGUGGGGGAUAACGUAGCGAAAGCUACGCUAAUACCGCAUACGAUCUAUGGAUGAAAGCGGGGGAUCGCAAGACCUCGCGCGAUUGGAGCGGCCGAUAUCAGAUUAGGUAGUUGGUGAGGUAAAGGCUCACCAAGCCGACGAUCUUUAGCUGGUCUGAGAGGAUGAUCAGCCACACUGGGACUGAGACACGGCCCAGACUCCUACGGGAGGCAGCAGUGGGGAAUAUUGGACAAUGGGCGAAAGCCUGAUCCAGCCAUGCCGCGUGUGUGAAGAAGGUCUUCGGAUUGUAAAGCACUUUAAGUUGGGAGGAAGGGCAGUAAGUUAAUACCUUGCUGUUUUGACGUUACCAACAGAAUAAGCACCGGCUAACUUCGUG